Long non-coding RNA from Poecilia latipinna (sailfin molly), 444 nucleotides. RefSeq lists it as uncharacterized. The record is from RefSeq and is a predicted model, not a curated record. NCBI's taxonomy places the organism in Eukaryota, Metazoa, Chordata, Actinopteri, Cyprinodontiformes, Poeciliidae. The transcript is spliced from 2 exons.
GAAACCUAUAAAAUCCUCCUAAAUCAGACAGAACAGCACAUCGACCCAGGAAGAAUGGAGGAAGAAAUCUGAAUGGCAGGAUUAGGAUGGCUUGGAGCAGGAACAGCGGCUGGUACUGGAAGUAUGGUAGCGUGGAUGAUAUCAAGCAUCUGUAAUGUAACUGUAAAAGUGCAAGACAGUCCAUAGCACAGAGAAGGAAUAUAUUUUUCAUCUCCAGUAGAGUUAAAGUCAUGUUGCUCUUAUCUAAUAUGUUUUAAAGAGUAGAUUCUGAAAUUCAAACAUGUAUAAUCUGAGUAUGAAUGAAUUUUUUAUUUUUAUUUUUGCUGUGAACAUGUCUUGGUAAAGGUCAUUGGGAUGUGUGGAUAAUGCUGCUGGCAUUUUUUAAAUUUUGAGGAAAUGCUAUUUCUACUCAUUCUGAGAGCGGAAUAAAAAAAAAACUUUGUA